Long non-coding RNA from Gallus gallus (chicken), 667 nucleotides. Lineage: Eukaryota; Metazoa; Chordata; Aves; Galliformes; Phasianidae. The record is from Ensembl.
CUCUCUUCACACUUCCUCUACGCAGAUGGCACCAGCAGAUUCCUCUUUGGAGGCCUUUCAGCAAGUGACCCUGAAGCAACAGAAACCCACUUCCCACUGAUGCAUGUCUGCUGUUUUCCCAUGAAAAGCAAAUGGUAUUUUUCCUUCAACUAUAGUGGCUCCAGAAAUGUCAGUAUAGGAAGCCUUCAGCCAGCGGACUGCAUUUCUUUUCAAAAGCAUAAGGUUAGUGAGUGUGGUGAGAAUCAUUAGGAGCUUGUAAGUCUGAAGGAACCUCAGAUCCAUCUGCUGGACUAUUUGCUCAAUGACUCACAGGAGGGUGAAAGGUUGAAUUACCUUCAUUCAAGAAAAUAGAUAGUUCUUUCCAAGACUCCAUGCAUCGAAGUGAUUGAUCCCUUCUACAAACAGACCCUGAAAUUGGCUUCCAAGACAUUAUAAAUUCCCCAGAGGAUGAAGACAUAAUCUGAAUGUGCAGAAGACUUCGAAGACUUCUCUUGCCUGCAGAUUGGUAUGGCAACCUACUAAGCUGCUAAGGGGAAAGAGUUUCCAUGAACAUUCCUGCUUUAGCAGGAGGAGCACUAAUACACAUUUUAAGUCUGAAAUAGAAAUUGUUAUAAAGUUUCCAGCCAACAGUUUUGUUUCUCCAAGGGACGCGGUACAAGUCCACAGG